Molecule: ribosomal RNA, 425 nt
Filed under: uncultured bacterium
Lineage: Bacteria
Description: bacterial SSU rRNA
Rfam family: Bacterial small subunit ribosomal RNA
Source: RNAcentral
AACGAACGCUGGCGGCAGGCCUAACACAUGCAAGUCGAACGAACCCUUCGGGGUGAGUGGCGCACGGGUGCGUAACACGUGGGAAUAUGCCCUUAGGUAAGGAACAACGUCUGGAAACGGGCGCUAAUACCUUAUAAUGACUCCGGUCCAAAGAUUUAUCGCCUAGGGAUUAGCCCGCGCCUGAUUAGAUAGUUGGUGAGGUAAUGGCUCACCAAGUCGACGAUCAGUAGGGGGUCUGAGAGGAUGACCCCCCACACUGGGACUGAGACACGGCCCAGACUCCUACGGGAGGCAGCAGUGAGGAAUAUUGGACAAUGGGGGGAAACCCUGAUCCAGCCAUGCCGCGUGAGUGAAGAAGGCCUUCGGGUUGUAAAGCUCUUUCAGAUGUGAAGAUAAUGACGGUAGCAUCAGAAGAAGCCCCGGCU